UAAAACAGUGGACUAUAAGUGUCCCAAAUCCUUUUCAAAGGUUUAAAAUGCUUUUUAAAUUUAAAAAGGACCAAAGUUGCAAAAAUUUUCCAAUUUGGGCCAAAAUUGUCAAAAUUGCGAAAAGAAGGGCUAAAACCGAGAAAAACUGCAUUUUCAGGGACUUAAACUGUUUUCUAUGAAAAAUAUGUUGGAAAAUAUUGAUUUCAAUAAUUUUUGGUGUUAAAAUGACAAGAAAAAUAGUUUAAGGACCAAACCGGGAAAUAUUACAUAAAAAGGGUUGAAAAAUGUAAAUUUUACAACUAAUGAGGGGCUGAAAACUGAAAUAUUUCAAGGCUAAUUCAAUAUGUAUAAUUUGAUCAAAUAAUGACACCUCGACUAUCGACGAAAUACAACUCAUUACAAUACCAAAAGUCGUUGUUAAACGAAUUGGCUCGGUCUCGAGCCAAUGGAAAUCUACAACUACUAACUCUUCGACACUACGAAUCAUACAAAUAACGUUUGGUAAUACAUAUACAUACGAGUGUGCACAGACGUCUACGCACCAUCUUCGGGCCCCAAAAGUGUAAAAUCUUGCUUGUUGGGCCUAGCUAGCCCAAUGACCUGAUCUUAAGGCCCGAAGACACAUAUUUUCUACGAAGUGCUGAGUUUCACCGACUUGGCACAACGUGGAGUGACUUUCAAUGGCUUGUACCACUGGUCCCCAAGGGUCCUUGGUAUUGCUAGAAGAGUCUGCAUAUUUUACGAGGCGGGUCGGGGACCCCUCGCACGCAUAUUUUCCCCAACCGGUUAAUGGAGUCACCGGGGUCUUCGUGACCUCUUUCUCUUCGGAUGUGGGACUACACCUAGUCCGGGCGAUUGGAUAACGUGAUUAGUACGGACGACGCCUUCGGGUUCGUUAGUAUAACUAUAAACUGGGCGUUUGUGUAAUGCGGGUUUGUAGUAAAUAAUCAUGCUCGAGAACCUUCCAACGUCGCCUGGGACUGACACUGCUAUCUUCGUAAUGGUUUCAACGCAACUUAAUGGAUUCCAAAGGAACUAGGGGAACAUCGGGUUUCCCUAGGGUUUUCAAUACAUACAGAUUUGAAAUGCAUACAUCUUCAAUGAACAUUUUUUUUACAAGUAUAGAAACAAACAAGCAUACCUAUGGAUCUUCACAAACGUUUUCAAAAGCUUUUCUUUUCAGAAAAUAUCGGAUUUUCUGGUGGUUUUUCAAGCAAUACAAACAUUCGAUUUCAAACACUACUUAUGAACUCACCAACAUUUCAUAUGUUGACGUUUUUCAAAAUACUUGUAUUCUCAGGGAACCAGUGAAUCAAGGGAAAUCAUAUUCAGUGACGGUUGCAGUUUAUUUUUGUAUGAAUUGAACAAAUUAAUUUUUGGGGAAUGUAAUGUUUAAACAAUGUAUGAUAUGUAAACACUACUGGUUGUACUAUGUUGAUGAAUGGUGACGAAUGUUGUUAUGUUUCAUAUAUAUUCAAUGUUAUGGUAUUCAAUUGAGUCACGACAGCCCCCGGACGUUUCCGCCGUCUGGUUCGGGGGUGUGACAGGUUGGUAUCAGAGCUUUGUUUAUAGUGAACUAGCAUGUCGAGCCACACAUUGAUAUGCAACUAUAAACCAAAAGAGGGACUAACAUAACUCUGAACAAAACAAGUAAAUAAAACACCCUUGCUUGCAUUAGGAAUAGGAACCUAACACCGAACCAAACAAGAUAAUGCUAGUAUCUCGGUUAAUUCAGGACUGUUCUUAGUUGUAUCAAGGAGCGGAUGUAGCCUGAUCAACUACAUUCCCUCCAAGGUACAACCAUCACAUGUCGUGAAGAGAUCGUGAUAACUAGGAACCUAAAAUCAUACCCCUUAAUCUCCAAGAAGGGAACCUCAACUGAAUCUAUGCAAUAGUCGUAGAGCUAUAGGAGUAAUUGGUAUGCUAUUUGUUUCUAGUAUUCAUAGCCCAUCGUGCAAUACGCUAUAGACGAGUAUCAUUAGCCAGGAAACCCUAUCACCCUAGUCAAGGAAUAGUCGGGUGGCUCGACCCAGAGGAAGAACCCCAGGAGGGACACGAAGUAGAACUCGCAGGUGAACCCGCUGAGUCAAUAGUGGACCUCGAAGAGGAAGAGCCGGAGGGCAAUGACGAUGACGACACGGAUGUAGAAUCCAAUGACAUCAAUCCUCCAUGUAAAUCCAGGGCACCGACUUAUAGUGUGGGCCCCGGUGACCCCAUGCCCCCUCGGGCACCCGAUAUUUGGGGAUAAAGUCACCAGUAAGGAAUACUACCACACCACGGUAAGAGCUGAGGUCUCUUUAAUUUUAGCCACAGAGGACCAGCUGACCAGGCCCUCCCAGUCGUGGUGCGACGCACUCGAGGUAUCGAUAACCAAGCUCAGGACACCCCAAAUCAAACGAAACCAAUGUGGUUUGUUAUUAAGAGGGAUGAAAGGAAAACACGGGAAGUGAAUGGAGACUCUCGAGCGAGACAGUUAGUUUGGGAGGCACGCCUACGAUAUACCGAGCAACAAGUAGCUCGUCUCCGAGGUGCAUCCACUUCAUCAGCAUCACCACCAGACACUUCUCGCCACGACUAGGAUCAGCCUUUUCUAAUUUCCCCUACUAUCCGACAUGACUCUCUUUCGUGUGCUAAGAUGGUACAUACCCCUGAAACGAUUAUGUGUUAUAUUUAUUUCAUAUUGCUGCAACGACUCAAUUAUAUGCACAAGCGAACCCUCAGAACCACUAGAUACUUAAGGAUCUCGAAACUAAAACAACCCAUAUAAUCUAAGGAUAGACGUAACAAUCGUUCCAGAUCUGUGACCACCUAUUACCACAAAAUACAUCAUAGGGAUGUAGAUGGAGGCAGUAAGAAUUAUACAACAAGAUGCGAAAAUUUAUAGAGUACAACCAGGAAUGACGAUCAUCACUUACGAUCUGGGUUAUCAAUGUGCAUCAGGAAAAUGCCAUCCCGCAAGAAUAACAAGCGCACCCGCGAGACACCACUCCUGCAGAUGGACUCUGCUACAUUCCAAGCUGCUGUAAUGGCAGCAGUAACCGCUGCCAUGGCACAGAUCAAUGCCAACAACCCUAAUGGAGGCAGGAAUAACAUUGACAACUCCAGCCAAAGGAACAAACAUGGAAACCAACAAGUGACAACCUGUCAAGGAACUCCAAACCCCAAGCUUAAGAGCAGGAAGCUGAGGUCUGGAGGUAAGAGAAAGGGGCAACACACUCGAGGGUUCUCAAGGGAGCAACGUGUUGUUGCCGUUCAUGCGACCACGACCCCUAUUACACCAGCAACCAGGAGACCAUAUGCUGGAAACCUUCCAAAAUGCAACCAGUGCAAAUUCCAUCAUAAUGGAGCCUGCAGGGAGAUGCAUUGUAACAAAUGCAACCGAAAGAAUCACAUCGCCAAAUUCUGUAGAACUUAUCCAUGCCAGAAUCAUCAGCCAAAUGAAAAUGACAACAAUCGCAACAACCCUAACAACAACACCAAUGAUGAGACCAGUCGCACCUGCUUUAGGUGUGGAGGAACUGGUUACAUCAGGCGCAAUUGCCCUAAGGAUAACAACCGAGGAGCAGAAGGAUCAGAAAUGGUCCUAACCUUGGGUCAAGGCAAAGCAAUCCCAAAGCCCAACGAUUGAUACUGGUACGUUCCCACUUGACAACUCCUUCGCUUACCUCUUAUUCAAUGGUAAAUCUGAGUGAAGUUUCAGUUAGUAACAAAUUCAAACACUUACUAAAACAACAUCCCCAAAGCUAAGCUAAGCCUUUUCAAUGGACAUGGCCAAAGGGGAAAAAUGAUUUAAUCUAGGGUACUCAUGUGGAGUACGCCUUAACACUAAACGACCAUUCAUUACAAAUAGAUUUCAUGCCAGUAAAUAUUAGGAGUUUUAAUGUGAUAAUCGUCAUGGUUGGGUUAAGCCCCCACCGUGCUGAUGAUAUGUGUCGCGAGAGGGCCGUUUGCCUUUACCUUCCUAAUCACGAAAACUCUAAUAAUCCAUGGUGAUAAACCUAGCGCUAAUCCUCUUCCUAUCUCGUGCAUCAAGGCACAGAAGUGCCUGCACCAGAAGAACUACGUUUUCCUCACUCAUGUUGUGGACAAGAUCAAAGAAGAGGUAGGCAUACAGAGUAUUCCAGGAGCUUGUGAUUUUCCCAAAUGUGUUUCCUAAGGAACUUUCGGGAAUACCCCAGAGAGACGGGUUGAAUUUCGAAUCAACCUCAUAUCGGUAACCACAUCAAUUGCCAAUUCACCCUAUAGGUUGACUCCCGCCAAAAAUCCACAAGUUAUCCUGUCAACUGAGUAGAAUUGUUGCGCAAGGGAUUCAUUAGACCAAGCUUCUCAUCCUAGAGAGCUCCGGUCUGGUUUUUCAAGAAGACAGAUUCUUCCGAAGGUACAUUGAUUUUAGGAAAUUGGACAAUCUCCCUAUUAAAAGUCGAUACCUACUUCUACGGACUGACGAUCUAUUUGGCCAGCUCCAAGAAGCUCGUUACUUCUUUAAAAUAGAUCUAAGAAUCGGUUAUCAUCAACUCUGAGUCCGAGAAGGCGACAUUCCAAAUCUGCAUUCCGAACUCGUCGCGACCAUUUCAAAUUCAUUGUGAUACCCUUCAGUCUAACGAAUGCUCCCAGGGUAUUCAUGAACCUUACGAACCUAGUUUCCCAACCAUUCCUAGUUAGCCCUUUCACUAUUUUCAUCGAUAACAUACUCAUCUACUCACAAAGCGAGAACGAAACACUAUCAUCAUCUACGACCAGCCUAGAAAGCAUCAAAGCUGGGAAUGUCGCGCUGAAAGCACUACAUGGAUGGAUAAAACUCUCGCAGUCGAAAGACGAAGCUUUUUGUUAUAAGAGUAGAGUUGGGCGUUAUCUGGGUGAUUGUCGAUAGGUUAACCCAAUCUGCCCAUUUCCUGCCAAUACAAAAAUCGAACAAGAUGGAAGGAUUAGCUUGGAUCUAUAUCCAGGAGAUCGUGAGACUCCAUGAAAUAUCGGUAUCUACUAUCUCGGAUCGAGAUAACAGAUUUUCUUUAAGACUAUGGCAAUCACUUCAGAGGGCUAUGGGAACAUCACUAGACAUAAGCGUUGCUUACCACCUUCAAACCAAUCGCCAAAGUGAACGAACCAUUUGACCACUCAAAUUCAUACUACAAGUCUAGGUGUUUGAGUUCAACAAGUCAGGGGAUACCCGGUUUCCCUUGACAAAAUUCUCAUACAAUAACAACUAUCGCACGAGCAUCAAGAAUGCUCCUUUCGAAAACUCUUUAUAGUCAUAAAUGCAUAUCACUCGGUGGUACUCUCAUGAGACCAGAAACCACUAACGAAACAACAGAGAAGAUAAUCCAAAUCAAAGCUGGACCUCAAGCAUCGUGAGACCGAUAAAGGAGCUCUGCUGACAAGCGGCGUAAUCCAUUAGGAUGGCAAGUCGGGGAUCGCGCAUUAUUAAAGGAAUCACCUGGGAAUUGAAUGACUCGCUUUAUGAACCAAGAAAACUAAACCCACGAUACAUCGGACUGUUCGAGAUUCUUGCUCGGAUUGGUCCAAAGACAUAUAGGCUGUAGCUGCCUGUAGAGCUCAGCAACAUGAACCCUGUGUUCUGUGUCUUGAAUCUGAAAAGAUGUAUAUCAGAUGACACUCAUAUCAUUCCUUUACGAGAAAUCGGAGUAAGCGAGAAUCUCAUGUUCGUCAAAGAUUCAGUCAAGGUAUUGGGUAGGGAAGUAGAACAUACAAAACAAAGCCCCAUUAUGAUUGUGAAGGUUCCAUGGAACGCUAAGCGUGGACCGAAAUUCACAUGGGAAACGUGCAGAUCAGAUGAAGUGCCUAUUCUCUCAUUCGCAAACCUAUCCUUAGAAAGAAUUUCGGGACGAAAUUCCCUCUAACGGGGGGAUGAUGUCACAACUAGCAUUUUUAGCUAGGAAAUUCUAUCCUCAUAUAAACAUCAUCCAUUGUAAAAGCAUGUACUCUAAGUGAAUACAAUACUCUAUCCUCGUUCAAGAUACACCUCAUAUGUUCAACUAAGGGUUGGAAACCUUAGCAAUCCCGGUCCAAGUUCCUUAUGAACUAAAAUUCUCCUAUUGGGCCUAGAAGCCCUAAGUGGGCUCUAAAUAGACCACAUUCAUAAAACUUUAGUAUUUGGGCCAUGUGGACCUAAAAUAAUCCAUCUUAUCUCUAAUGAGCCUUGUUGGGCCAUAAAAGAUUUCAUUUUCCCCAAUGGGCCGAAAAUUUAUUUUUUGGGGCUUCAUAAAUUCGAGUAUGGACCCAAGAUGAUUCCUUUCCUCUCUCCUUAGCCCAAAUAGGCCCAUGUUAAUAAAAAAAAAAAAAGAAGAAAAGAGAUAAGAAUGGUGAAGGAAAUAAAAACAAAAAUUGGAAAUUAUGGGAAAAUUUGUGAGGAUGCCACCUACUUAUUGCAUGGUGGAUAUCCAUGCAAUGUCACCUCACUUCUCUUCUCUCUCUCUCCCUUCUAAAUCUCGGCCUAAGGCCAUUUUCCCUCACCAAAAAUCAUUCAUGUUUCCUUUCACUCUCAAAAACCCCAAGAACUCUUCCAUUUUCUCCUUAAACCCGUGAGUGGGUGUGUGUGCACAAGAAAGUUCAUCAAACUCACAUACUAGGUAAGUUACUUCACCCUCAAGUUGUAUAAAUUCAUCUAUGAUCAAAUCCUCCUAGAAACAUCACAAAUCUCUUGAUUAUCCUACUAGAAACAUCAUAGUUUUGAGGAUCCUCUCAAGAAGCAAGCUAGGCCGAAAUCUCUCACUUUCUUCAUCAAAAACCGAAACCUUCAAACAAGGUGAGCUUCAUACCCCCUAUUUUCUGUUUUUAUGAGUUUUGUGGGGGGGGGAAUACAAGUGAAAGUGUAGAUCUAUAUGUGUUUUGUAUGCCUUGUAUGAUUUCCAUGCUUAUAUGUAUGCUUUUAUGUGUUUUAAUGUUGGAUCUAGCCAUAAAACCCCUCAAAACCGAGAUAUAACUUAUGUUUUAUGAUUUUAGCUUCAAAUAUAUUUCUACAUAUAAAGUGAUACAAGAAAAAUAGCUAAGUGGUUAGCAACAAUUUUCUUUAAGCUAAAAACACACAUUUUGGGCCAAAAAUGUGAAAAAUACAAAAUUAAGGGCCCAAAUUGACAUUUCACAGAUUCUGAUGGAUGAAAUGUGCCAAAACAGUUUCCAUAAAACUAUUUCUGGAAUUAUAUUCAAUUAGAGGAUUAAAAACAUAAAUUUCAAGCUUAUUGGGCUAAAAAUGAAAAUUUCGGCCCAAGGAGGCCCAUUAUGCGAAUUUUUCUGUUUUGGAGGGCCAAAACUGUGAAUUUCUGUAAAACAGUGGACUAUAAGUGUCCCAAAUCCUUUUCAAAGGUUUAAAAUGCUUUUUAAAUUUAAAAAGGACCAAAGUUGCAAAAAUUUUCCAAUUUGGGCCAAAAUUGUCAAAAUUGCGAAAAGAAGGGCUAAAACCGAGAAAAACUGCAUUUUCAGGGACUUAAACUGUUUUCUAUGAAAAAUAUGCUGGAAAAUAUUAAUUUCAAUAAUUUUUGGUGUUAAAAUGUCAAGAAAAAUAGUUUAAGGACCAAACCGGGAAAUAUUACAAUAAAAGGGUUGAAAAUGUAAAUUUUACAAAUAAUGAGGGGCUGAAAACAGAAAUAUUUCAAGGCUAAUUCAAUAUGUACAAUUUGAUCAAAUAAUGACACCUCGACUAUCGACGAAAUACAACUCAUUACAAUACCAAAAGUCGUUGUUAAACGAAUUGGCUCGGUCUCGAGCCAAUGGAAAUCUACAACUACUAACUCUUCGAUACUACGAAUCAUACAAAUAACGUUUGGUAAUACAUAUACAUACGAGUGUGCACAGACGUCUACGCACCAUCUUCGGGCCCCAAAAGUGUAAAAUCUUGCUUGUUGGGCCUAGCUAGCCCAAUGACCUGAUCUUAAGGCCCGAAGACACAUAUUUUCUACGAAGUGUUGAGUUUCACCGACUUGGCACAACGUAGAGUGACUUUCAAUGGCUUGUACCACUGGUCCCCAAGGGUCCUUGGUAUUGCUAGAAGAGUCUGCAUAUUUUACGAGGCGGGUCGGGGACCCCUCGCACGCAUAUUUUCCCCAACCGGUUAAUGGAGUCACCGGGGUCUUCGUGACCUCUUUCUCUUCGGAUGUGGGACUACACCUAGUCAGGGCGAUUGGAUAACGUGAUUAGUACGGACGACGCCUUCGGGAUCGUUAGUAUAACUAUAAACUGGGCGUUUGUGUAAUGCGGGUUUGUAGUAAAUAAUCAUGCUCGAGAACCUUCCAACGUCGCCUGGGACUGACACUGCUAUCUUCGUAAUGGUUUCAACGCAACUUAAUGGAUUCCAAAGGAACUAGGGGAACAUCGGGUUUCCCUAGGGUUUUCAAUACAUACA
This 8356-nucleotide long non-coding RNA is filed under the name Lactuca sativa (garden lettuce). Its description in RNAcentral is "long non-coding RNA (LSAT_LNC002887)". Lineage: Eukaryota; Viridiplantae; Streptophyta; Magnoliopsida; Asterales; Asteraceae. The record is from RNAcentral.